CCUACGGGUGGCUGCAGUGGGGAAUAUUGCACAAUGGGCGCAAGCCUGAUGCAGCCAUGCCGCGUGUGUGAAGAAGGCCUUCGGGUUGUAAAGCACUUUCAGCGGGGAGGAAGGCGUUAAGGUUAAUAACCUUGUCGAUUGACGUUACCCGCAGAAGAAGCACCGGCUAACUCCUUGCCAGCAGCCGCGGUAAUACGGAGGGUGCAAGCGUUAAUCGGAAUUACUGGGCGUAAAGCGCACGCAGGCGGUCUGUCAAGUCGGAUGUGAAAUCCCCGGGCUCAACCUGGGAACUGCAUUCGAAACUGGCAGGCUAGAGUCUUGUAGAGGGGGGUAGAAUUCCAGGUGUAGCGGUGAAAUGCGUAGAGAUCUGGAGGAAUACCGGUGGCGAAGGCGGCCCCCUGGACAAAGACUGACGCUCAGGUGCGAAAGCGUGGGGAGCAAACAGGAUUAGAUACCCCAGUAGUC
This 465-nucleotide ribosomal RNA is filed under the name uncultured Klebsiella sp. RNAcentral describes it as "bacterial SSU rRNA". It matches the Rfam family "Bacterial small subunit ribosomal RNA", at positions 338 to 795 of the family's 1533-position model. Lineage: Bacteria; Pseudomonadati; Pseudomonadota; Gammaproteobacteria; Enterobacterales; Enterobacteriaceae. The record is from RNAcentral.